GCAGACUGUGGCUGAGUCGGUCGAGAACCUGCUUGACGUGCAGAAGGCCCCAGGUUCAAUCCCCGGCGUCUCCA
RNAcentral lists this transfer RNA (74 nucleotides) under Sphaerodactylus townsendi. Its description in RNAcentral is "tRNA-Val". Lineage: Eukaryota; Metazoa; Chordata; Lepidosauria; Squamata; Sphaerodactylidae. The record is from RNAcentral.